UUUGCAUCCCACAUGGGCUUUGAGAGAAGUACUGGAUGUCCUGGCUGUAGAGUAAAAAAGACUAAUUCCAUCAUGACCCAGCAGCUGGAGAGGUUCAUUUGGAAAAGACUGAGCCCUGAAUGAGAAUUUCAGUACUGCUUCCAAUGGGCACAAACGCUGGCAAGACUGGGAUCCCAGCUUGCAACAAAAGCAUUUCUCAUGCCGCUGGAAGAAAAGCCCUGCUCCGAAUCCCACUGAAGCCGACAGGAGGUCUCUCAUGCCAGGGCUUUGGAGCAGACCCCGCACAGCAGAGA
Molecule: long non-coding RNA, 293 nt
Filed under: Anser brachyrhynchus (Pink-footed goose)
Lineage: Eukaryota; Metazoa; Chordata; Aves; Anseriformes; Anatidae
Description: lncRNA (ENSABRG00000013043.1)
Source: RNAcentral